UUGGAGGGCAAGUCUGGUGCCAGCAGCCGCGGUAAUUCCAGCUCCAAUAGCGUAUAUUAAAGUUGUUGCAGUUAAAAAGCUCGUAGUUGAACCUCGGGAUCAAUGGAUCGGUCAUGCCAUCGGUAUGUACUGGUCUCAUUGGUUCUCACCUUCUAAGGAACCAUGAUGUCAUUAAUUUGAUGUUGUGGGGAAUUAGGACUGUUACCUUGAAAAAAUUAGAGUGUUUAAAGCAAGCUUACGCUUGAAUACAUUAGCAUGGAAUAAUAGAAUAGGACGUGUGGUUCUAUUUUGUUGGUUUCUAGGACCGCCGUAAUGGUUAAUAGGGACAGUCGGGGGCAUCAGUAUUCAAUUGUCAGAGGUGAAAUUCUUGGAUUUAUUGAAGACUAACUACUGCGAAAGCAUUUGCCAAGGAUGUUUUCAUUAAUCAGGAACGAAAGUUAGGGGAUCAAAGACGAUCAGAUACCGUCGUAGUCUUAACCAUAAACUAUGCCGACUAGGGAUCGGACGAUGUUAUUUUUUGACUCGUUCGGCACCUUACGGGAAAC
Molecule: ribosomal RNA, 545 nt
Filed under: uncultured Glomus
Lineage: Eukaryota; Fungi; Glomeromycota; Glomeromycetes; Glomerales; Glomeraceae
Description: bacterial SSU rRNA
Rfam family: Eukaryotic small subunit ribosomal RNA
Source: RNAcentral